Molecule: ribosomal RNA, 207 nt
Filed under: uncultured bacterium
Lineage: Bacteria
Description: partial 16S ribosomal RNA
Rfam family: Bacterial small subunit ribosomal RNA
Source: RNAcentral
UACGUAGGGUGCGAGCGUUGUCCGGAAUUAUUGGGCGUAAAGAGCUUGUAGGUGGCUCGUUGCGUCGGGAGUGAAAACCUGCGGCUUAACCGCAGGCCUGCUUCCGAUACGGGCGAGCUAGAGUUCGGCAGGGGAGACUGGAAUUCCUGGUGUAGCGGUGGAAUGCGCAGAUAUCAGGAGGAACACCGGUGGCGAAGGCGGGGUCUC